Oncorhynchus tshawytscha (Chinook salmon) is the source of this 1101-nucleotide long non-coding RNA. RefSeq lists it as uncharacterized. The transcript is spliced from 3 exons. NCBI's taxonomy places the organism in Eukaryota, Metazoa, Chordata, Actinopteri, Salmoniformes, Salmonidae. The record is from RefSeq and is a predicted model, not a curated record.
UGUGACAACAGCGGGUCGAGGAUGUUUCUGGUUGCGACAACCAAUCAUAUCGCCGUCUGCAACCAAGACGUAACCAAGAAUUGUACUCGCCAACCAAUCCGAGACACCAGUGCAACCAGUAAUUGACCAAUGAGGAUAGAACUAUGGCGGGACCUUUAAACUCUAGUCAAGAGGCCCAUGGAAAAGUGUAUUUCCUUUCAGGUAAUUUUGUUCGCGAGUUUAAUUUAUUUUCUGAAGUAACAUGAGCUGUAGCGGGACCUUUAAACGCUAGAAGAGAACAAUGGAAAAAUAUAUUUCCUCGGGUAAUUUGUUCGCAAAUUAUCUUUAUUUUCUGAAGUAACGUUAGCUACAAUUUUUUUUGUUGUCUGCUGUUUUCAUUGAUCAUCAUCAUCGAUCGGAAUAUCUAGCUGGGAGAGAAGUAUGCCUUCCCAAGGGAUAGCAAUGCAUGUAGCCUGUUUGGAUCAUAAGUGGAUGUCCAAGGCAUUGUUCAGGUGGUCGGGGAAUGGGAUUCCAGUGAUGGUCUUUUCCAGGGUUGACAAAAUGUGGUGUGACCAACCCUCCACCACCAUCUGCAGCCCAGUAGAGAUGGAGAGGUACUUUGCCUGUCCUCUGCUGCUCUCGAUGCCCAGGAAACUGGCAGGUUGAGCUGCAUUCUGCCCACAUUCUGCAGUAGGAAGGUCUUCAGUUGGAACAUAUAGUUCCUUACACUGUUCCACACUAAAUACACUGCUGAUGGGUUUGGGGUACCUCUUCGAUCAGACUGGGUUUGGUGCUGCAGGAUCACAAGGCUGCUAUUGAGGAACUGGAGACAGGUGAUCCUGAUGUCCAAGAGGAGGAUGAUGAGGGCUUUGUGGCGCUUGUGGAAGUUCAGGACCUGACAGUUCCAGUGGUGGAGACAGCCCUGCCUCUUGUUGGCACCUUUCGCCCUACUGUCACCCCCUCUACCAGCAUCCAGUCCACAGCUGCAUCAGUCAGUCCCCUGUCCUCCACUCCUGUACGGGCUACUCCCACCCCCUCUACCAGCAUCCAGUCCACAGCUGCAUCAGUCAGUCCCCUGUCCUCCACUCCUGUACGGGCUACUCCACCACCUGGGCCUCUGUC